Molecule: ribosomal RNA, 428 nt
Filed under: uncultured bacterium
Lineage: Bacteria
Description: bacterial SSU rRNA
Rfam family: Bacterial small subunit ribosomal RNA
Source: RNAcentral
UGGGGAAUUUUGGACAAUGGGCGAAAGCCUGAUCCAGCCAUGCCGCGUGAGUGAAGAAGGCCUUCGGGUUGUAAAGCUCUUUCGGACGGGAAGAAAUGGCGAGCUCUAACAUAGCUUGUCGAUGACGGUACCGUAAGAAGAAGCACCGGCUAACUACGUGCCAGCAGCCGCGGUAAUACGUAGGGUGCGAGCGUUAAUCGGAAUUACUGGGCGUAAAGCGUGCGCAGGCGGUUGUGUAAGACAGGUGUGAAAUCCCCGGGCUUAACCUGGGAACUGCGCUUGUGACUGCACAGCUAGAGUACGGCAGAGGGGGGUGGAAUUCCUGGUGUAGCAGUGAAAUGCGUAGAUAUCAGGAGGAACACCGAUGGCGAAGGCAGCCCCCUGGGCCUGUACUGACGCUCAUGCACGAAAGCGUGGGGAGCAAACAG